AACGAACGCUGGCGGCAGGCCUAACACAUGCAAGUCGAGCGGACAUCUUCGGAUGUUAGCGGCGGACGGGCGAGUAACGCGUGGGAACGUGCCCUUUGCUUCGGAAUAGCCUCGGGAAACUGGGAGUAAUACCGGAUGUACCCUUUGGGGGAAAGAUUUAUCGGCAAAGGAUCGGCCCGCGUUGGAUUAGGUAGUUGGUGGGGUAAUGGCCUACCAAGCCGACGAUCCAUAGCUGGUUUGAGAGGAUGAUCAGCCACACUGGGACUGAGACACGGCCCAGACUCCUACGGGAGGCAGCAGUGGGGAAUCUUAGACAAUGGGGGAAACCCUGAUCUAGCCAUGCCGCGUGAGCGAUGAAGGCCUUAGGGUUGUAAAGCUCUUUCACCGGGGAAGAUAAUGACGGUACCCGGAGAAGAAGCCCCGGCUAACUCCGUG
This 435-nucleotide ribosomal RNA is filed under the name uncultured bacterium. RNAcentral describes it as "partial 16S ribosomal RNA". It matches the Rfam family "Bacterial small subunit ribosomal RNA", at positions 29 to 507 of the family's 1533-position model. The record is from RNAcentral.